RNAcentral lists this small RNA (28 nucleotides) under Bombyx mori (domestic silkworm). RNAcentral describes it as "ovarian small RNA-10581". Lineage: Eukaryota; Metazoa; Arthropoda; Insecta; Lepidoptera; Bombycidae. The record is from RNAcentral.
AAGCCGUACACUUGGCAUUGAGGUCUCC